GUAACGCGUAUCCAACCUUCCCCAUAGUAGGGCAUAGCCCGUAGAAAUGCGGAUUAAUACCCUAUGUAUUCCGAGGAUGACAUCUGAUUCGGACAAAGGUUCACCGCUAUGGGAUGGGGGAUGCGUCUGAUUAGGUAGUAGGCGGGGUAACGGCCCACCUAGCCGACGAUCAGUAGGGUCUGAGAGGAAGGUCCCCCACAUUGGAACUGAGACACGGUCCAAACUCCUACGGGAGGCAGCAGUGAGGAAUAUUGGUCAAUGGGCGAGAGCCUGAACCAGCCAAGUAGCGUGCAGGAUGACGGCCCUAUGGGUUGUAAACUGCUUUUAUACAGGGAUAAAGUCGGGGACGCGUUCCCCGUUUGCAGGUACUGUAUGAAUAAGGACCGGCUAAUUCCGUGCCAGCAGCCGC
RNAcentral lists this ribosomal RNA (409 nucleotides) under uncultured bacterium. RNAcentral's name for it is "bacterial SSU rRNA". It matches the Rfam family "Bacterial small subunit ribosomal RNA", at positions 110 to 518 of the family's 1533-position model. The record is from RNAcentral.